UACGUAGGGUCCGAGCGUUGUCCGGAAUUAUUGGGCGUAAAGGGCUCGUAGGCGGUCUGUUGCGUCGGGAGUGAAAACUUACAGCUUAACUGUGAGCGUGCUUUCGAUACGGGCAGACUUGAGGCAUUCAGGGGAGAACGGAAUUCCUGGUGUAGCGGUGAAAUGCGCAGAUAUCAGGAGGAACACCGGUGGCGAAGGCGGAUUUCUGGACCAGUUCUGACACUGAUGAGCGAAAGCCAGGGGAGCAAACAGG
Molecule: ribosomal RNA, 253 nt
Filed under: uncultured bacterium
Lineage: Bacteria
Description: partial 16S ribosomal RNA
Rfam family: Bacterial small subunit ribosomal RNA
Source: RNAcentral